GUCAAUCAAUGAUAAACUAUAUGCCAAAGUAUUUUCUUGCAUCACCUUCAUGGGUGCAUCCAAAGUCUUUCACAAGCAUCUGUCCCAUCUUUUUCUGUUUUCAGCAUGCUUUGCCAUCAUCGUUGAGUCCAUUUUUAGGAUUUGUAAUAGUCCAAUCACAUCUUUCUCAUGUAUAAUCGUUUUUUUUGGAAUGAUCUCAAUAGGUUCCUUGUGAAAUACCAGUGUGGGUCACAUUAGCAAUCAUUUCAC
Pelobates cultripes (western spadefoot toad) is the source of this 249-nucleotide non-coding RNA. The record is from the annotation of a GenBank genome assembly. NCBI's taxonomy places the organism in Eukaryota, Metazoa, Chordata, Amphibia, Anura, Pelobatidae.